Molecule: ribosomal RNA, 253 nt
Filed under: uncultured bacterium
Lineage: Bacteria
Description: partial 16S ribosomal RNA
Rfam family: Bacterial small subunit ribosomal RNA
Source: RNAcentral
UACGUAGGUGGCAAGCGUUGUCCGGAUUUACUGGGCGUAAAGAGCGCGCAGGCGGUCGUUCAAGUCGCGUGUGAAAGCCCCCGGCUCAACUGGGGAGGGUCACGCGAUACUGAUCGACUGGAAGGCAGGAGAGGGUAGUGGAAUUCCCGGUGUAGUGGUGAAAUGCGUAGAUAUCAGGAGGAACACCGGUGGCGAAGGCGCUCAUCUGGCCCAAUACUGACGCUGAGGCGCGAAAGCUAGGGGAGCAAACGGG